Molecule: long non-coding RNA, 571 nt
Organism: Toxorhynchites rutilus septentrionalis
Lineage: Eukaryota; Metazoa; Arthropoda; Insecta; Diptera; Culicidae
Exons: 3
Source: RefSeq, a predicted model, not a curated record
UCUCUCUCGUGUAUGUCAUCAGUUGUAUUCUCAACCGGACAAUAUAGAAAUAGUUGAUGCUGAGCCGCUCGGACAGUCUUGAAAAGGCGCAGUUGAAUUGAAGUAUUCGACCAGAGUGGUUCUUCAGGAUAACCCAAUCCAGACUAGUGAAUAUUUCAAAGUGUUCAUCGUGAAGAAUGGGUAAAGGCAAAGGUGGCGGUGGAGCAGCAGCAGCAGCCGGAGCAAAUCAAACACAAAAAGGUGGCGGAGGAGGGAAACCGAAGGGUGGAAAUGAAAAUAAAGGUGGCGCUGGCGGUAAGGGAGGAGACAAAGGAGGAAAAAAGGGUGGCAAUAAAAAGUAGCGACGGUGGCAUUGCCAGCUUCAAUCCUUUCCCCGGGCAGCACCCGAAACUAACGUCUUUCCGAAAACGAUAAAUUGGACUGUGAAAUUUGAGACUACUAUUUUUUUGGAACAAACAAAUUAUUGUUAUUUUUGUAUUUAAUUUGUGUAUUAUCUUAAGAGGCUUUAAAAUUAGGUGAAAGAACGAAUAAAAAGACGUAAUAGUAUUAAACAGUACGUUCGGUGACUACA